ACUGCUCAGUAACACGUGGACAACCUACCCUCAGCACGGGGAUAAACCCGGGAAACUGGGUAUAAUACCCGAUAGUUCUGGGAUGCUGGAAUGCGCCCAGGACGAAAGCUCCGGCGACUGAGGAUGGGUCUGCGGCCUAUCAGGUAGUAGUGGGUGUAAUGUACCUACUAGCCUACGACGGGUACGGGUUGUGAGAGCAAGAGCCCGGAGAUGGAUUCUGAGACACGAAUCCAGGCCCUACGGGGUGCAGCAGGCGCGAAAACUUUACAAUGCUGGCAACAGCGAUAAGGGGACCUCGAGCGCCAGGAUACAAUCUUGGCUGUCGUAAUGCCUAAAAAGCAUUGCAUAGCAAGGGCCGGGCAAGACCGGUGCCAGCCGCCGCGGUAACACCGGCGGCUCGAGUGGUAACCGCUAUUAUUGGGUCUAAAGGGUCUGUAGCCGGCCGGAUAAGUCUCUUGGGAAAUCCAGCUGCUCAACAGUUGGGCUUUCAGGAGAUACUGUUCGGCUCGAGACCGGGAGAGGUGAGAGGUGCUUCAGGGGUAGGGGUGAAAUCUUGUAAUCCUUGAAGGACCACCAGUGGCGAAGGCGUCUCACCAGAACGGAUCUGACGGCAAGGGACGAAAGCUAGGGGCACGAACCGGAUUAGAUACCCGGGUAGUCCUAGCCGUAAACGAUACUCGCUAGGUGUCGGCCACGGUGCGACCGUGGUCGGUGCCGUAGGGAAGCCGUGAAGCGAGCCACCUGGGAAGUACGGCCGCAAGGCUGAAACUUAAAGGAAUUGGCGGGGGAG
This 790-nucleotide ribosomal RNA is filed under the name uncultured archaeon. Its description in RNAcentral is "bacterial SSU rRNA". It matches the Rfam family "Archaeal small subunit ribosomal RNA", at positions 85 to 876 of the family's 1478-position model. The record is from RNAcentral.